Molecule: long non-coding RNA, 219 nt
Filed under: Coturnix japonica (Japanese quail)
Lineage: Eukaryota; Metazoa; Chordata; Aves; Galliformes; Phasianidae
Description: lncRNA (ENSCJPG00005005528.1)
Source: RNAcentral
AGUGCUGGAAAUCAUCCUGCAAUCCACCAGCCGCAGCGCCCGCCUGGAGCCGCCUGUGCCGGCACCGAGAGGCUUUUGGAAUAUUGUAGAAGAGAGAAGGCUGAUGUCACUGUUUAACACUGGUCUCCAACUGGUCUCCAACUUGACCCCCUGCUGUUAACAGUGGCAUCUGCGAGGUGCUGGCUGUAACCGAUCUGGCCAGGAGUUGUGCCGUUCAUU